UGUGGUCAAAUUUGNGCUACCAAUAAGGAC
This 30-nucleotide non-coding RNA is filed under the name Rattus norvegicus (Norway rat). The record is from RNAcentral. Lineage: Eukaryota; Metazoa; Chordata; Mammalia; Rodentia; Muridae.